RNAcentral lists this ribosomal RNA (253 nucleotides) under uncultured bacterium. RNAcentral describes it as "partial 16S ribosomal RNA". It matches the Rfam family "Bacterial small subunit ribosomal RNA", at positions 524 to 776 of the family's 1533-position model. The record is from RNAcentral.
UACGAAGGGGGCUAGCGUUGCUCGGAAUCACUGGGCGUAAAGGGUGCGUAGGCGGGUCUUUAAGUCAGGGGUGAAAUCCUGGAGCUCAACUCCAGAACUGCCUUUGAUACUGAGGGUCUUGAGUUCGGGAGAGGUGAGUGGAACUGCGAGUGUAGAGGUGAAAUUCGUAGAUAUUCGCAAGAACACCAGUGGCGAAGGCGGCUCACUGGCCCGAUACUGACGCUGAGGCACGAAAGCGUGGGGAGCAAACAGG